UGGGGGAAUAUUGCACAAUGGGCGCAAGCCUGAUGCAGCAACGCCGCGUGGGGGACGAAGGCCUUCGGGUUGUAAACCCCUUUCAUCAGGGAAGAAGCGAAAGUGACGGUACCUGCAGAAGAAGCGCCGGCUAACUACGUGCCAGCAGCCGCGGUAAUACGUAGGGCGCAAGCGUUGUCCGGAAUUAUUGGGCGUAAAGAGCUCGUAGGCGGUUUGUCGCGUCUGCUGUGAAACCCGAGGCUCAACCUCGGGCCUGCAGUGGGUACGGGCAAACUAGAGUGUGGUAGGGGAGAUCGGAAUUCCUGGUGUAGCGGUGGAAUGCGCAGAUAUCAGGAGGAACACCAAUGGCGAAGGCAGAUCUCUGGGCCACAGCUGACGCUGAGGAGCGAAAGCGUGGGGAGCGAACAGGAUUAGAUACCCUGGUAGUCCACGCCGUAAACGGUGGGCACUAGAUGUGGGGGCCAGUUCCAUGGUUUCCGCGUCGCAGCUAACGCU
RNAcentral lists this ribosomal RNA (495 nucleotides) under uncultured Actinomycetes bacterium. Its description in RNAcentral is "bacterial SSU rRNA". It matches the Rfam family "Bacterial small subunit ribosomal RNA", at positions 354 to 859 of the family's 1533-position model. The record is from RNAcentral. Lineage: Bacteria; Bacillati; Actinomycetota; Actinomycetes.